ACGGGUGAGGAAUACAUCGGAAUCUGCCUUGUUGUGGGGGAUAACGUAGGGAAACUUACGCUAAUACCGCAUAAGACCGAAAGGUGAAAGUGGGGGACCGCAAGGCCUCACGCGACAAGAUGAGCCGAUGUCGGAUUAGCUAGUUGGUGAGGUAAAGGCUCACCAAGGCGACGAUCCGUAGCUGGUCUGAGAGGAUGAUCAGCCACACUGGAACUGAGACACGGUCCAGACUCCUACGGGAGGCAGCAGUGGGGAAUAUUGGACAAUGGGCGCAAGCCUGAUCCAGCCAUGCCGCGUGUGUGAAGAAGGCCUUCGGGUUGUAAAGCACUUUUGUUGGGGAAGAAAUCGUACGGGUGAAUAUCCCGUGCGGAUGACGGUACCCAAAGAAUAAGCACCGGCUAACUUCGUGCCAGCAGCCGCGGUAAUACGAAGGGUGCAAGCGUUACUCGGAAUUACUGGGCGUAAAGCGUGCGUAGGCGGUUUGUUAAGUCUGUCGUGAAAGCCCUGGGCUCAACCUGGGAAUGGCGAUGGAUACUGGCAAGCUAGAGUACGGUAGAGGAUGGUGGAAUUCCCGGUGUAGCGG
RNAcentral lists this ribosomal RNA (583 nucleotides) under uncultured Dokdonella sp. Its description in RNAcentral is "bacterial SSU rRNA". It matches the Rfam family "Bacterial small subunit ribosomal RNA", at positions 102 to 681 of the family's 1533-position model. Lineage: Bacteria; Pseudomonadati; Pseudomonadota; Gammaproteobacteria; Lysobacterales; Rhodanobacteraceae. The record is from RNAcentral.